GCCCACGUAGCUCAGUUGGCAGAGCGCGUUCUUGGUAAGAACGAGGUUCAGCGGUUCGAACCCGCUCGUGGGCUCCA
RNAcentral lists this transfer RNA (77 nucleotides) under Chloroflexota bacterium. Its description in RNAcentral is "tRNA-Thr". It matches the Rfam family "tRNA". From Rfam's summary of the family: Transfer RNA (tRNA) molecules are approximately 80 nucleotides in length. Their secondary structure includes four short double-helical elements and three loops (D, anti-codon, and T loops). Further hydrogen bonds mediate the characteristic L-shaped molecular structure. tRNAs have two regions of fundamental functional importance: the anti-codon, which is responsible for specific mRNA codon recognition, and the 3' end, to which the tRNAs corresponding amino acid is attached (by aminoacyl-tRNA synthetases). tRNAs cope with the degeneracy of the genetic code in two manners: having more than one tRNA (with a specific anti-codon) for a particular amino acid; and 'wobble' base-pairing, i.e. permitting non-standard base-pairing at the 3rd anti-codon position. Lineage: Bacteria; Bacillati; Chloroflexota. The record is from RNAcentral.